GUGCUCGCUUCGGCAACACAUAUACUAAAACUGGAACGAUACAGAGAAGAUUACCAUGGCCCCUGGGCAAGGAUGGCACGCAAAUUCGUGAAGUGUUCCAUAUUUUU
This is a small nuclear RNA of Physeter macrocephalus (sperm whale), 107 nucleotides long. The record is from Ensembl. Lineage: Eukaryota; Metazoa; Chordata; Mammalia; Artiodactyla; Physeteridae.